Molecule: ribosomal RNA, 427 nt
Filed under: uncultured bacterium
Lineage: Bacteria
Description: bacterial SSU rRNA
Rfam family: Bacterial small subunit ribosomal RNA
Source: RNAcentral
GGACCCGCACAAGCGGUGGAGUAUGUGGCUUAAUUCGAUGCAACGCGAAGAACCUUACCUAGGCUUGACAUGCUUGUCGUACUCUCCCGAAAAGGAGAGGUCACUUCGGGUGGACAAUGCACAGGUGCUGCAUGGCCGUCGUCAGCUCGUGUCGUGAGAUGUUUGGUUAAGUCCAGCAACGAGCGCAACCCCUGUGAACUGUUGCCAGCGCGUAAAGGCGGGGACUCUGUUCAGACUGCCCAGAUCAACUGGGAGGAAGGUGGGGACGACGUCAGGUCAGUAUGGCCCUUACGCCUAGGGCUGCACACGUACUACAAUGCCCAGCACAAUGAGAACCGAGACCGCAAGGUGGAGGAAAUCUGCAAAACUGGGCCCAGUUCGGAUUGGAGGCUGCAACUCGCCUCCAUGAAGUCGGAAUCGCUAGUAA